UACGAAGGGUGCUAGCGUUGCUCGGAAUCACUGGGCGUAAAGGGCGCGUAGGCGGCCAUUCAAGUCAGGGGUGAAAGCCUGUGGCUCAACCACAGAAUUGCCUUUGAUACUGUUUGGCUAGAGACCGGAAGAGGUAAGUGGAACUGCGAGUGUAGAGGUGAAAUUCGUAGAUAUUCGCAAGAACACCAGUGGCGAAGGCGGCUUACUGGUCCGGUUCUGACGCUGAGGCGCGAAAGCGUGGGGAGCAAACAGG
Molecule: ribosomal RNA, 253 nt
Filed under: uncultured bacterium
Lineage: Bacteria
Description: partial 16S ribosomal RNA
Rfam family: Bacterial small subunit ribosomal RNA
Source: RNAcentral